CGGGUGAGUAACACGUAAAGAACCUGCCUCAUAGACUGGGACAACUAUUGGAAACGAUAGCUAAUACCGGAUAACAGUAUUUCUCGCAUGAGAGAUAUUUAAAAGUUGGUUAUGCUAACACUAUGAGAUGGCUUUGCGGUGCAUUAGCUAGUUGGUGGGGUAAAGGCCYACCAAGGCGACGAUGCAUAGCCGACCUGAGAGGGUGAUCGGCCACACUGGGACUGAGACACGGCCCAGACUCCUACGGGAGGCAGCAGUAGGGAAUCUUCCGCAAUGGGCGAAAGCCUGACGGAGCAACGCCGCGUGAGUGAAGAAGGAUUUCGGUUCGUAAAGCUCUGUUGUUAGGGAAGAAUGGAUAUGUAGUAACUAUACAUAUAAGAGACGGUACCUAACCAGAAAGCCACGGCUAACUACGUGCCAGCAGCCGCGGUAAUACGUAGGUGGCAAGCGUUGUCCGGAAUUAUUGGGCGUAAAGCGCGCGCAGGUGGUUUAAUAAGUCUGAUGUGAAAGCCCACGGCUCAACCGUGGAGGGUCAUUGGAAACUGUUAAACUUGAGUGCAGGAGAGAAAAGUGGAAUUCCUAGUGUAGCGGUGAAAUGCGUAG
RNAcentral lists this ribosomal RNA (603 nucleotides) under uncultured bacterium. Its description in RNAcentral is "bacterial SSU rRNA". It matches the Rfam family "Bacterial small subunit ribosomal RNA", at positions 103 to 693 of the family's 1533-position model. The record is from RNAcentral.